RNAcentral lists this long non-coding RNA (310 nucleotides) under Pan paniscus (pygmy chimpanzee). Its description in RNAcentral is "lncRNA (ENSPPAG00000045225.1)". Lineage: Eukaryota; Metazoa; Chordata; Mammalia; Primates; Hominidae. The record is from RNAcentral.
CCUGAGUUUAUCAGAAUGUUAGUCCUUGAGAGAGAUUUAGCCUUAAAAUUAAUCUAUUUUGUGGGAAACAUUGUGAAAGUUACCCAAAGAGAAGAAAAUGUGUUUAUGAUGAAGUUGCUGUCAUCCAGAAACUUAUAAUCAAGUUGGUAAGAUAUGACAUAAUUUGCUAUUUAAAGCACACGUGCACACACACACACACACACACAAAUUCAAGGCUGGAUAUGUACUUAAGUAUAUCAAAUUUUUAAGUUGCUAUUUUGAUUUUUUUCAAAUAUACAGAUGUGUCUGAAUGCAGGGAUUAUAGCUGAGC